RNAcentral lists this ribosomal RNA (1346 nucleotides) under uncultured bacterium. RNAcentral's name for it is "bacterial SSU rRNA". It matches the Rfam family "Bacterial small subunit ribosomal RNA", at positions 28 to 1381 of the family's 1533-position model. The record is from RNAcentral.
GACGAACUUUGGCGGCGUGCUUAACACAUGCAAGUCGAACGGAAAGGCCCUGCUUUUGUGGGGUGCUCGAGUGGCGAACGGGUGAGUAACACGUGAGUAACCAGCCCUUGACUUUGGGAUAACUUCAGGAAUCUGGGGCUAAUACCGGAUAGGAGCUCCUGCUGCAUGGUGGGGGUUGGAAAGUUUCGGCGGUUGGGGAUGGACUCGCGGCUUAUCAGCUUGUUGGUGGGGUAGUGGCUUACCAAGGCUUUGACGGGUAGCCGGCCUGAGGGGGUGACCGGCCACAUUGGGACUGAGAUACGGCCCAGACUCCUACGGGAGGCAGCAGUGGGGAAUAUUGCACAAUGGGCGGAAGCCUGAUGCAGCAACGCCGCGUGCGGGAUGACGGCCUUCGGGUUGUAAACCGCUUUCGCCUGUGACGAAGCGUGAGUGACGGUAAUGGGUAAAGAAGCACCGGCUAACUACGUGCCAGCAGCCGCGGUGAUACGUAGGGUGCGAGCGUUGUCCGGAUUUAUUGGGCGUAAAGGGCUCGUAGGUGGUUGAUCGCGUCGGAAGUGUAAUCUUGGGGCUUAACCCUGAGCGUGCUUUCGAUACGGGUUGACUUGAGGAAGGUAGGGGAGAAUGGAAUUCCUGGUGGAGCGGUGGAAUGCGCAGAUAUCAGGAGGAACACCAGUGGCGAAGGCGGUUCUCUGGGCCUUUCCUGACGCUGAGGAGCGAAAGCGUGGGGAGCGAACAGGCUUAGAUACCCUGGUAGUCCACGCUGUAAACGGUGGGUACUAGGUGUGGGGUCCAUUCCACGGGUUCCGUGCCGUAGCUAACGCUUUAAGUACCCCGCCUGGGGAGUACGGCCGCAAGGCUAAAACUCAAAGGAAUUGACGGGGCCCCGCACAAGCGGCGGAGCAUGCGGAUUAAUUCGAUGCAACGCGUAGAACCUUACCUGGGUUUGACAUGGAUCGGGAGUGCUCAGAGAUGGGUGUGCCUCUUUUGGGGUCGGUUCACAGGUGGUGCAUGCCUGUCGUCAGCUCGUGUCGUGAGAUGUUGGGUUAAGUCCCGCAACGAGCGCAACCCUUGUUCACUGUUGCCAGCACGUUAUGGUGGGGACUCAGUGGAGACCGCCGGGGUCAACUCGGAGGAAGGUGGGGAUGACGUCAAGUCCUCAUGCCCCUUAUGUCCAGGGCUUCACGCAUGCUACAAUGGCUGGUACAGAGAGUGGCGAGCCUGUGAGGGUGAGCGAAUCUCGGAAAGCCGGUCUCAGUUCGGAUUGGGGUCUGCAACUCGACCUCAUGAAGUCGGAGUCGCUAGUAAUCGCAGAUCAGCAACGCUGCGGUGAAUACGUUCCCGGGGCC